CCACAGCGAAUGGUUGUGCGCGCGGUGUCGUGGUAUCUCGCACUCCCUAUUCCGCGGUCUGGCCACCCCUCUUCAUCGGAGUUCUUCCUUUGGUGCUGCAGCAGCGUCUUGUCACGAAGCCGAUGCUGCGCGCUUGCUUAUGGGAUCACGCGACACUUCCAUACAAACCGACAUCGCCGUGCGUACUCUUCUACCUCGUGCCCGGCGAUCCCGUAUGGCGUGUGAGCGUGCCGAAUGCGCGCGGCGAAUACCCAGACCUCGUGCCAGGGCUGCCUUACCAAGAGUGGCAUGCUAUGGAACCGCACUAUCUGCAGGAGUACGCGCCGCCAGCGCUGAGCAUCCACGAGUCGGCCGAGGUCGCGUGGGAGGAGCUGCCGAUCCCGCCCUUUGACGACUUCAGGCGUUUCUUGGCACCAUCGUAGAACACUGCCGUGAAGUGACUCGGUGAACCACCUUUUCAAGGGCACACUCUCGUCUACGUGUGUGCACGUGCUGCAGUGAUCGAAGGACACUUGAGACGGCGAGUAAAACACCGCAAAGACGGCAACGGAUGUGGAGGGAGGGAUUGCUGAUCGGCCUAGGCGGGCCACUUUAUGCCGGUUCUCGAGCCGCUGCCCCACUGCCGACUCUCCCGCGCUUUGAGGAACUAAGGAACCGCGUGCGUGGACUCUGCUAUAUACGGUGUGCGUGCAGGCAUGCGUGUGUGUGUCUGCGCAUGCGCGUACAGGGCCGCUUGUGCGACGGAGCAUGGCCAGGCACCCUCAGAAAGUCUCCCCCCCAUAUACACACACUUAGACACACGCAGCAUAGCCCAAAUGCGAAGCGCGAACAGGCGAAUCAAGCUCAACACCCCAUUUUCAUGUGACAGUAGAUGCGUAGGUGGUCGAACGUUUUUUUUUUGUGCUUCUGCGACUUCCCUGUGAGGACCUCCUCUUUCCCCCCUCAGCCGCUGCGCAGCGCCGUAGUGGUGAAUGGCUUGCGAUAACGCAUCCUGUCUCCCCGUGCUUGAAAGCUGCUCCAUGCUCUGCGCGCCGACGUCCCUCUCACUUUCUCCUUUUCUGUUCUCGACUCAUUUUUUGCCGCACGUACUCCGCCGGUCCCUCGAAACACGCCGCACGGCGCACGCGUUACAUACCGUUUCUUGCGUGCGCGAAG
RNAcentral lists this unclassified non-coding RNA (1155 nucleotides) under Leishmania donovani. Its description in RNAcentral is "gene:LdHU3.22.0880(CDS-product:hypothetical_prote in_conserved)". Lineage: Eukaryota; Euglenozoa; Kinetoplastea; Trypanosomatida; Trypanosomatidae. The record is from RNAcentral.